This 193-nucleotide ribosomal RNA is filed under the name uncultured bacterium. RNAcentral's name for it is "partial 16S ribosomal RNA". It matches the Rfam family "Bacterial small subunit ribosomal RNA", at positions 1307 to 1500 of the family's 1533-position model. The record is from RNAcentral.
GCAACUCGCCUGCAUGAAGUUGGAAUUGCUAGUAAUCGCGAAUCAGAAUGUCGCGGUGAAUACGUUCCCGGGCCUUGUACACACCGCCCGUCACACCAUGAGAGUCGAUAACACCCGAAGCCUGUGAGCUAACCGCAAGGGGCAGCAGUCGAAGGUGGGGUUGAUGAUUGGGGUGAAGUCGUAACAAGGUAAC